This 498-nucleotide ribosomal RNA is filed under the name uncultured bacterium. RNAcentral describes it as "partial 16S ribosomal RNA". It matches the Rfam family "Bacterial small subunit ribosomal RNA", at positions 30 to 523 of the family's 1533-position model. The record is from RNAcentral.
AUUGAACGCUGGCGGCAGGCCUAACACAUGCAAGUCGAGCGGUUGAGGUAGCUUGCUACCGAUGCAGCGGCGAACGGGUGAGUAAUACAUGGGAAUCUGCCUGGUAGUGGGGGACAACGUCUCGAAAGGGACGCUAAUACCGCAUACGCCCUACGGGGGAAAGGGGGGGAUCUUCGGACCUCUCGCUAUCAGAUGAGCCCAUGUCAGAUUAGCUAGUUGGUGGGGUAAAGGCUCACCAAGGCGACGAUCUGUAACUGGUCUGAGAGGAUGAUCAGUCACACUGGAACUGAGACACGGUCCAGUAUCCUACGGGAGGCAGCAGUGGGUAAUAUUGGACAAUGGGCGCAAGCCUGAUCCAGCCAUGCCGCGUGUGUGAAGAAGGCCUUAGGGUUGUAAAGCACUUUCAGUGGGGAGAAAGGUUAUUCACCUAAUACGUGAGUAAAUUGAUGUUACCCACAGAAGAAGCACCGGCUAACUCCGUGCCAGCCGCCGCGGUAA